CCAGGCCGGCUGCAUAAUUGUGCUCAUUAAAAGUUGCAGGCUGGCUAAUUAGCAGGCUAGCUGGUGUGCUACAUAGGCCGCAAGGAUGCUGUGACACUAUCAACACUCCUGGCGCGCGCACCACCCGUCACAUGUGCAGGACACACGCACGCGCACAAUCCGUCCCCCCCGCUCCGGACCACUGCGGUACGACUGCGGGUUGGCGCAGGCCGGGGUGGCGACGUCUGCGGGCGCAGCAACGCUGACUCCCGCACUCAAAAGGAGAACCCGGGGGUCUGACAGAAACCCCUCGAGAUGUCCGUCUUACCUUCAGCUUGGUGUGUGCCAAGGCUGGCUCGCUCCCGGGGAUACCGGACCACGCUCAGGACGGAGGUUUUGUCGCCAGGAGGAGCGCGGCGCUGAACGAUAGAAUCCCCGGACCACGCAGACUCAGGACCGGCAAGUCGGUACCGCCGCGGUACUGACGAGGCCGUCUUGGCGCCGGGAGGUGCUGCUGGUGCUGAGGAGGAAGAUGAUGAUGAUGAUGUUACCACCUGACACAUCCCCCCUCCCUCCUCUUGCUCCUCCUUUCUGUGAAGAUGCGGGAAAUAUCAGCAUCAGUGAGAGGUUUCAUAAUUUUGAUGCCUUCAGUGACAAUCUACAAGCUGCCGUCGACUCCCCUGAGACACUAAGCGUCAAGACACCCGUGGAGACACCCUUCCGACUUUCA
Nerophis ophidion (straightnose pipefish) is the source of this 709-nucleotide long non-coding RNA. RefSeq lists it as uncharacterized. NCBI's taxonomy places the organism in Eukaryota, Metazoa, Chordata, Actinopteri, Syngnathiformes, Syngnathidae. The transcript has 3 exons. The record is from RefSeq and is a predicted model, not a curated record.